This 322-nucleotide ribosomal RNA is filed under the name Spirostomum minus. Its description in RNAcentral is "SSU rRNA". It matches the Rfam family "Eukaryotic small subunit ribosomal RNA", at positions 626 to 970 of the family's 1831-position model. The record is from RNAcentral. Lineage: Eukaryota; Ciliophora; Heterotrichea; Heterotrichida; Spirostomidae.
GCUCGUAGUUGAACUUCUGUGGCGUGGCUGCGUGCGGCAACGUGCGCGGCCUGGCCACAUCCUCCUGAGGAGCUCGCUCUCAUUCACUUGUGGGCGAGUGUUCAGGUACUUUACCUUGAGAAAAUUAGAGUGUUCCAGGCAGGCGCAGCCUGAAUAGUGCAGCAUGGAAUAAUGCAAGAGGACUUAGCUCCAGUUGUUGGUGUAUGGCGCUGAGUAAUGAUUAACAGGGAUAGUUGGGGGCAUUCGUAUUUAAUUGUCAGAGGUGAAAUUCUUGGAUUUAUUAAAGACGAACCUGUGCGAAAGCAUUUGCCAAGGAUGUUUU